Molecule: ribosomal RNA, 494 nt
Filed under: uncultured bacterium
Lineage: Bacteria
Description: bacterial SSU rRNA
Rfam family: Bacterial small subunit ribosomal RNA
Source: RNAcentral
GAUUAACGCUAGCGGCAGGCAUAAUACAUGCAAGUUGAACGAGAUUAGUUUUAGCAAUAGAACUAGUUUAGUGGCGCACGGGUGCGUAACGCGUAUGCAACCUACCUUAAACAGGGGAAUAGCCUCUCGAAAGAGAGAUUAAUACCGCAUAAUAUAUAUUUAAUGCAUAUUAGAUAUAUUAAACCUACGGGGGUUUAAGAUGGGCAUGCGUGACAUUAGCUAGUUGGUGAGGUAACGGCUCACCAAGGCAACGAUGUCUAGGGGGUCUGAGAGGAUGUCCCCCCACACUGGUACUGAGACACGGACCAGACUCCUACGGGAGGCAGCAGUAGGGAAUAUUGGUCAAUGGGGGGCAACCCUGAACCAGCCAUGCCGCGUGCAGGAAUAAGGCCCUAUGGGUCGUAAACUGCUUUUGAACGGGAGAAAUCAUUUACGUGUAAAUAGUUGACGGUACCGUUAGAAUAAGGAUCGGCUAACUUCGUGCCAGCAGCCGC